RNAcentral lists this long non-coding RNA (1912 nucleotides) under Marmota monax (woodchuck). Lineage: Eukaryota; Metazoa; Chordata; Mammalia; Rodentia; Sciuridae. The record is from RNAcentral.
GUCUGCCACUCAGUGUGGACGCUUUGCUGCUGAAGAACACGUGGGUCGUUGAGCAUGUCACCAGCCCCUCUGAGCCUCACCUCCCUCAUUUGUAAACCACAGAGGUAGGAAGGAGUCAGACCAGCUGGUUUUACCUGGUCAUCUGUGCUUUGGAUUGCACUAAGCCUUUGGAAUCGGAGCCUGUUGAUUAAGUGGGGUUGACGGGUAAAGAAUGUUGGAGUAAAGGGACCCAGGCAGCUUGUGUCCUCUGGGUGCUAGGCGCUUUACAUGUACUUUAGUCAUUGCCCUCUCUCACCAUCCCCGGGAGUAGGUGGAAUUGACUCCAUCCUACAGAUGUGAAAAUCAAGGCGUGUGGAGGUUGAAGGACUUGCCCAAGAUCAUCCACCGGGGCAACGUUAAGGCUGGUAUUUAAACCUGGGCAGGUGAAUACACCGGGGGGCAGCACAUGGCAGGGUGAGGGUGGGUCUGGAUCUGGAAUUCUUGUCCUACCACCGCUUCCUUGCAUGCUCUUCUUUUCACUAGCAAUUGUGCACUGACUUUGAGAGAGACUUGCUUGCCCAGAUUAUUGGGGAUGGUCCAAUUUACUGUCUGACUACCGAAAAGCAGAGCAACUGUGUCUCAAAGGAACCUUGCCACGUUGUUUGGAACAGGUCUGUCAGUUCAUAGCUGAGAGAGUGCAGGUCCAGCAAAGUUAGGUGAUCUGUUCCAUGUCACUCUGUGAAAGCAAGAGAUGAAGACCCAGCCCCUGUCCUAGGUGUCUGAAGCUGUAUUUACCAUUAGUGAGGUUUUUAAAGCUUUCAUUCGGGAACUUUGAGAUGAGGUGAACUGAGUUAUUCUCACCUCCAGGCCCCUUUGAAGGGCCAGCAGACUAGACCCAUGGAACACAGGUCCGGCACUUGACAUUGUGGCGGGCGUCUGGGACAUGAAGGGCAGUAAGCAAGCUGGCGUUAGACCUGGCCGUUUUCCUGGAACAGGUUUAGUAUGUGAGCAGCGUUUAUGAGUGGUCUCACUCCCAAGUCAGUCAUGUUUCCCAGUGGAGGGGCUGAGACCCUGACCCUGUCCCUCAUGUGAGGCUGGCCUGUAAGAGCUCUUGCCACAUGGUUUCUGUUCUUUGUCUUUCCCACUCUGCUGCAUGUUUCUAAGGUGCGGCUCCCAGAAUGUUAAUCUUAACUAAUUAGUGGAUCUGUCUUGUGUGUGUGUGUCCGGGCUGGGUGGGGGGGUGCCAAUAUCAUAGAUGAAUGGCGAUAUACACCCAGAAACAAAAACCAUCCAGUAAUUAUUAAAAAGUGCUGGGUGAGUACUUGAUUCACUUCAUGAUCACUAUCACAUUUAAAAAAGUAUUAUUCUAACACCAGGCUUCACAUAUUCAAAAGAUUAUCCUAGGAAAGAGGAGGGCUUAUUAUUAUUGUACAGGUCUGGAGGAAAAAGCUAUAGCAGCUGGUGGCAGUUAGGAAGAGUACGCUGACCAGGAGCUGGUCGGGGGGCACAGUCCACCAUACUUGCCCUUUUUAUUGGAAGCGGGCAGAAAACCCCAGAGCUUUCUGCCCUGGCAAGGAGUCAGACUUCACAGCCUUUAAUGUCCCUUCUAAAUCUAAGAUUUCUUGAUCCUUUCUCAAGCCAAGAGUAACUGAGGGGAAGUCAGAGUACAUAAGGGCUGUGUCUUACUCAUUCUUUGGGUUCCAAAGCCAUACUACAGGCAGGAAAUUAUGCAUAGCCAAAAAUACCCUUGAAAAUAUUUUAACCAUCAAAAAUAUGCAUUAUACAUAGUGUUUGUGUAUGCAACCCUGAACAGCAAUUCCUGUAACCAGUGUGCAAAACACUGGCCUAGACUAAAGGGUAGAAAAAGAAAAUCGGUCUGUGUUUUCCUCCUGUUCUGUCUUUAAGGUAACUGUCAAGCCAUAAGCUGGUACAG